AGAGUUUGAUCCUGGCUCAGGAUGAACGCUGGCGGUCUGCUUAACACAUGCAAGUCGAACGGACGUUUUCGGACGUUAGUGGCGGACGGGUGAGUAACGCGUGAGAAUCUGCCUUCAGGUUGGGGACAACAGUUGGAAACGACUGCUAAUACCCAAUGUGCCGAGAGGUGAAAGCUUUAGUGCCUGAGGAUGAGCUCGCGUCUGAUUAGCUAGUUGGAGUGGUAAUGGCACACCAAGGCGACGAUCAGUAGCUGGUCUGAGAGGAUGAUCAGCCACACUGGGACUGAGACACGGCCCAGACUCCUACGGGAGGCAGCAGUGGGGAAUUUUCCGCAAUGGGCGCAAGCCUGACGGAGCAAGACCGCGUGAGGGAGGAAGGCUCUUGGGUUGUAAACCUCUUUUAUCAGGGAAGAAGAUCUGACGGUACCUGAUGAAUCAGCAUCGGCUAACUCCGUGCCAGCAGCCGCGGUAAUACGGAGGAUGCAAGCGUUAUCCGGAUUUAUUGGGCGUAAAGCGUCCGCAGGUGGUUUUUCAAGUCUGCUGUUAAAGCGCGAGGCUUAACCUCGUAACGGCGGUGGAAACUGAGAGACUAGAGUAUGGUAGGGGUAGCGGGAAUUCCCAGUGUAGCGGUGAAAUGCGUAGAUAUUGGGAAGAACACCAGCGGCGAAAGCGCGCUACUGGGCCAUAACUGACACUCAUGGACGAAAGCUAGGGGAGCGAAAGGGAUUAGAUACCCCUGUAGUCCUAGCUGUAAACGAUGGAUACUAGGUGUUGCCCGUAUCGACCCGGGCAGUGCCGUAGCUAACGCGUUAAGUAUCCC
This 820-nucleotide ribosomal RNA is filed under the name uncultured Oscillatoriales cyanobacterium. RNAcentral describes it as "bacterial SSU rRNA". It matches the Rfam family "Bacterial small subunit ribosomal RNA", at positions 8 to 870 of the family's 1533-position model. Lineage: Bacteria; Bacillati; Cyanobacteriota; Cyanophyceae; Oscillatoriales. The record is from RNAcentral.